UCACAUUUCAUUUUCAUACAUAAACAUAACAUAACCGAUAACCUAAAAAUUUAGUAAAAAAGUAAAAAUUUUGAUUGGAAAAAAAUGCAUCGAUAAGGGGGUGUGGGAAAUGGAAAUUAGUGGCUUUUUUGCUGUACUGUCUGCUAGUUUUUGCUCUGGGCACUGGCUAGAUCUCUUGUUUAAACAAUUUUAAUCAGCUGAAAGUGGCCUACAAAAAAAAACCAAGAAGGAAAUGUAUAGCCUUGUGGCUAUGAAAGGCAAAAGAGAGAUAUAAAAAGUGUAUUGGCUAGUUGGAAGAAAGUCCACAUUGUCCAUGCAUAAUAAGUUAUUACAUUAUCAACAAAUAUCAAGAAGAUAGCAGGGUCACGAGCAUCAACUUCAUGAGUUCAAGAAUAUCGAGGAAAUCCAGCUCCUCGAUACUACUGGGCAAACUAGAAGAUUGAAGAGGACAAAUCCUUUUGAACUAGUUUGAGUGAUAGGUGAUAGUGAAAAACGGAGCAUAGUGCUUGUGUGCUGUGCCUGUGUAUGUUAGAAUAGUGCACGAUCUUGUUAGAUUAGAUAAGAGACGCUAUGGGGUAAGCUCUUCAUUUUAAGAAACAGUAGUAAUUUAGGCUAAAUUAAAAUUGCUCAUUGGUCAGUUAUGACCAGAUUGUUUUUUUAUGUUUGGCAAAAAGGACUUAAGUCAGAAUUGCACAUUGAUAAUGUUUUGAUGAUUUCUGGACCAGAAAAAAACUGUUGUAGAUGUAAACUGUAUGUACAGUAGAAUCUACUACAGUACUGUAGAAAUCAUCAAAACAUUAUCGAUGUGCAAUUCUGACUUAAGCCCUUUUUCCCAAACAUCAGAGAAUUGUAAUGUACAAUAAUUCUCCUAUCUGCUUUUUCAUGAAUUUUGUAGGAGACGAAAAACCAUUUUUAGGAUCAUCUGCUUUCACAUGUUUUGUAGUAAAUAGAUAGUUGAAUUUACUACAAAACAUGUCAAAAAAUAUAUGAAAACAGGAGGUGACUAUAAAAAAAGUUUUUAGUCUCUCUUACAAAACUCAUGAAAAAACAAAUCGGAGGUAUGUCACAUCAGUGACUAAGAAUGUCUAAAAAAUAUACUUUGAUGUCCCAAGAACCAAAUAUAACCUACAGUCCAUCUAAUUUACUUACUGUUGCACGUCAUUAUCUACGCCAGAGAUCUAAGUUGACAUAGUUGCCAAAGUAUAAAAAGAUCCUGAAUCCAUUUUAAAUCAAAUAUGUCACAUAAUUAUUGUAAACGUGGAUUAUACAACAAAACAAAUUAAUAUUCAAUGUAAAUAAGUAAAAACUUAAGAAAUAGAGAACAAGAAUUAAGUUAUAAUCUUUUAAGAUUUGCAGUGCAAGAGUUUUUGCACUGCAUUGUUAAUAAUUAAAAAACGGCUCCGAACUCUUGGCAAAAAGCCGGUAGGUUUCUUUGUAUAAGUAUGUCUACAAUAACAACUAAAAAAGUUGUCAGAUACCUCGAUUAUUCCAAGUCGUUAUAAAAUUAGGUGAAAUUUAUAUUUUUAUAGUAGAGGAUCUUUUUAUAGUAAAGUAAAUAAUAAAAACAGUAAAUAUAAUAAAUAAAACAGAUACUUAUAGUAAAGAAUAUAAACAAAUAUGAAGUGUCAUCACCGUAACUGUCAAAUAAAUGUUACCAAUUUAUUCUAAAAUGUCACCUUCGUUCGAUUACAGUUACAGUGUGAUCCGAACAAAUCUGCUUCAUAAAAACGCUUUAUAAUCCAUUUAUACAAAUUAAAUGAAACAUAUUAUUGUGUAUUUCUUUAGGUUAACAUUAAUAGAAAUCUUCAAAUAUUAUUUCUACGCGUAUAUAAUAAAAUAUGUCUAGUGGCUGUAAUUCCAGUGUACUCGGCAAAGUGAUUCUAAAAAAGAACACACCUACCGCCUAAAUAUUUCGUGUUGGUAUCAUGCAACCUCACAGGCUACGACGCGGAUGACGCGCAACAGUUAGUAAAUUAGACGAAGUAUGUAGAUAUAUACAGGGUGUAACAAAAAUACAGGUCAUAAAUUUAAUCACAUAUUCUGGGACCAAAAAUAGUUUGAUUGGACCUAACUUACCUUAGUACAAAUGUGCACACAAGAAAAGUUACAGCCCUUUGAAGUUAUAUAUAUAUAUAUAAUAGCACCAAGGGUCUUAGAGGCCCAUGGCUUGAAAAGUUUGUUUUUUUUCUUCAUUUUCACGUUUCUUUAUGUACUGAGAUCUUCUCUGGCUUGAUAUGUGAUUUUUCUCCAUUCCUUCCUGUUAUUCAUUUUUCUUUUCUGACCCUGUAGCACCAUUCUUUCCAAAUCUUUUUCGACCUCUUGCUUCCAUCUAUUUUUCGGCCUUCCUCUUCUCUUUCUUGAAGCUGUAGUGUAGUUUAGUACCAUUUUUGGAGUCCUCGUGUUUGGCAUCCUUUCAAUGUGACCUCGCCAUCUAAGUCUCUGUGCCUUUAUCAUUCAUUUGAAGUUACAAGAUGAAGUGAUUUUUUCCAAUAUAUCGAAAACUAUUAGAGAUUUUUUAUUGAAAAUGGACAUGUGGCAUUAUUAUGGCAGCAGUAUCUUACGAAAAAACUAUAGUAAAAUUUGGACACCCCAUAAAAAUUUUAUGGGGGUUUUGUUCCUUUAAACCCCCCCAAACUUUUGUGCACGUUUCAAUUUAAUUAUUAUUGUAGUACCAUUUAAACACAACGUUUUAAAAACUUUUUUGCCUCUUAUUGCUUUUUCGGAAAGUCAAUUUUUAUCGAAAUAUUUUGAAUAUUUGUCAAAUCCACCACAUAUUUGUAUAUGGUUAAGUACGAUUAUGGAGACUUGGUAAUAAUAUGCAGACUUAUUUAUGCUUUACAUUUUUAGGGAUAUUUUGAACCAUAUUAAAAAAGAAGCCAGAUCUCGAUAAAAUGUGCCUUAUCGAAAAAAUACAAAGAGGCAAAAAAGUUUUAAAAACAUUCUGUUUAACUAAUGGUACCUCAGUAAUAGUUUAAUUGGAAUGUACACAAACAUUUGGGGGGUUUAAAGGAACAAAACCCCCAUAAAAUUUUUAUGUAGACAUGUUAAAAAAGAAGUCGCAACUCGAUAAAAACUGCCUUAUCUGAAAAAUACUAAGAAACAAAAAUAUUGAAUUUAACUAAUGGUACCACAAUAAUAAAAUUGAAUUGGAACAUACACAAAAGUUUGGGAGGAUCUAAGGGAUCAAAACCCCCAUAAAAUUUUUAUGGGGUGCACAAAUUUCACCAUAAUUUUUCUUUAAGAUAUUCCUGCCAUAAUACUGCCACAUGUCCAUUUUCAAUAAAAAAUCGCUAAUAGUUUUCGAUAUAAUCGAAAAAAUCGAUUUUCAUUUUGUAAUUUCAAAGGGCUGUAACUUUUUUUAUGUGCAUAUUUGUACUAAGGUAAGUUAGGUUCAUUCAAACUAUUUUUGGUCCCAGAAUAUGUGAUUUAAUUUAUGACGUGUAUUUUUGUUACACCCUGUAUAUACAGCCGAUUACGCACCACCCUAAAAAUUGGGCAUUUUUGAUGUCUCGAAUUUCCUAAACCUGUUGUUGCAUCUAAGUGAUUUUUUUAUAAUAUUCUAGCCUAGGCCCUAGGCUAUAGGUUAAGUACCUCCUUAUGCUUGUCAUGCACGGGGAGCUAUACUGUAAUAUAUAUUAUAUCACAUCGCACUCUAUAGUAAUGAGUGAGCCUGCACAUAUGGAACCAUUUGUUUUCUGUCUGCAGGCUCACUCAUUACUAUAGAGAGCGAUAUGAUAUAAUGUACAUAUAUUACAGCAUAGCUCCCUGUGCAUGACAAGCUUAAGGAGGUAACCUAUAGCCUAGGCUAUAAUAUUAUAAAAAAAUCACUUAGAUGAAACAACAGGUUUAGGAAAUACGAGACAUAAAAAAUACCCCAUAUUUAAGGUGGUGCGUUAAUUUCUUGGAGAAGUGUAUUGUAAUUUAAUGUAAAUAAUGUAAUAUCCAAUAAUUGUAAUUUAAUAUAAGAUGUAAUAUAAGUUCCUUAAAAAAUAUAUUUUUUAUUUCCCACGACAUUAGAUGGAUGUUCGGCAGCAAGACAUUGGACCAAACUGGGACGUCCUAUGAAGGCCCAAUUGACGUCCACCGAACGUCCCUUCGGAUGUUAAGUGGACCUCCAUUGGGCGUUUGGUAACGUGGCAUUUGGACCAAAAUUGGACGUCCUGUUAAGGUCCAAUUCACGUCCCCUAGAACGUCCGGUUAAGGUCCAAUUUACUUCCGAUUAAGGUCCAAUUUACGUCCGAUUAAGGUCCCAUUUACGUCCGAUUAAGGUCCAAUUUACGUCCUAUUAAGGUCCAAUUUACGUCCGAUUAAGGUCCAAUUUACGUCCUAUUAAAGUCCAAUUUACGUCCGGUUAAGGUCCAAUUUACGCCCGAUUAAGGUCCCAUUUACGUCCCAUUAAGGUCCAAUUUACGUCCUAUUAAGGUCCAAUUUACGUCCGAUUAAGGUCCAAUUUACGUCCUAUUAAGGUCCAAUUUACGUCCGAUUAAGGUCCAAUUUACGUCCGAUUAAGGUCCAAUUUAUGUCCGAUUAAGGUCCAAUUUACGUCCGAUUAAGGUCCAAUUUAUGUCCGAUUAAGGUCCAAUUUACGUCCGAUUAAGGUCCAAUUUACGUCCCCUAGGACGUCCGAUCAAGGUCCAAAUUACGUCCGAUUAAGGUCCAAUAUACGUCCCCUCGGACCUUAGAUGGACGUUCGGUAGCGCGACAUUUGGACCAAAAUAGGACGUAUAAAGGACGUUCCUCGGACGAAAACGGACGUCCAAUGGACGUCCCUAAAGUCCGUGAAGGACGUCCAUUGGACGUC
This 4801-nucleotide long non-coding RNA is filed under the name Diabrotica virgifera virgifera (western corn rootworm). RNAcentral's name for it is "uncharacterized LOC126882128". Lineage: Eukaryota; Metazoa; Arthropoda; Insecta; Coleoptera; Chrysomelidae. The record is from RNAcentral.